AGUGAACGCUGGCGGCAGGCCUAAUACAUGCAAGUCGAACGGCAGCACAGCAGAGCUUGCUCUGUGGGUGGCGAGUGGCGGACGGGUGAGGAAUACAUGGGAAUCUGCCCAGUCGGGGGGGAUAACGUAGGGAAACUUACGCUAAUACCGCAUGCGCCCUUCGGGGGAAAGCCGGGGCCCUUCGGGCCUGGCGCGCUCGGAUGAGCCCAUGUCGGAUUAGCUAGUUGGCGGGGUAACGGGCCACCAACGCGACGAUCCGUAGCCGGUCUGAGAGGAUGAUCAGCCACACUGGAACUGAGACACGGUCCAGACUCCUACGGGAGGCAGCAGUAGGGAAUUUUGCGCAAUGGGGGAAACCCUGACGCAGCAACGCCAUGUGUGGGAUGACGCAUUUCGGUGUGUAAACCACUGUCGGCAGGGAAUAAAGCCCGCAUUUAUGCGGGGGUGAAUGUACCUGCAAAGGAAGCCCCGGCUAACUUCGUGCCAGCCGCCGCAGUAA
This 499-nucleotide ribosomal RNA is filed under the name uncultured bacterium. RNAcentral describes it as "partial 16S ribosomal RNA". It matches the Rfam family "Bacterial small subunit ribosomal RNA", at positions 28 to 523 of the family's 1533-position model. The record is from RNAcentral.